This 74-nucleotide transfer RNA is filed under the name Zingiber officinale. It matches the Rfam family "tRNA". From Rfam's summary of the family: Transfer RNA (tRNA) molecules are approximately 80 nucleotides in length. Lineage: Eukaryota; Viridiplantae; Streptophyta; Magnoliopsida; Zingiberales; Zingiberaceae. The record is from Rfam by way of RNAcentral.
GCAUCCAUGGCUGAAUGGUUAAAGCGCCCAACUCAUAAUUGGUAAAUUCGUAGGUUCAAUUCAUGCUAGAUGCA